This 425-nucleotide ribosomal RNA is filed under the name Proasellus sp. n. Boreon. Its description in RNAcentral is "partial 16S ribosomal RNA". It matches the Rfam family "Archaeal large subunit ribosomal RNA", at positions 1924 to 2612 of the family's 2987-position model. Lineage: Eukaryota; Metazoa; Arthropoda; Malacostraca; Isopoda; Asellidae. The record is from RNAcentral.
CUCUUGGGGGGGCCCCAAGUAACCUCUGCCCUAUGAUUUGUUUAAAUGGCCGCAGUAUCUUGACUGUGCAAAGGUAGCAUAAUCACUUGUUUCUUAAUUAGAGGCUGGAAUGAAGGAGGCGACGAAAGCUAGACUAUCAAGAUUUUAGUGUAAGUUGACAAUCGGGUUAAAAGGCCCGGGUGAACCGGGGGGACGACAAGACCCUAUAAAACUUUACUUUUAGCGCGGGGCUAAGCGGGAGUGGCUUUUGUGCCUAAUGGUUUUGCUGGGGCGGCGCAGAUACAAACAAUUUGAGGUUUAAUAUGUUAAAUAAUGAGGCAGAACUCGUAGAGAAAUAGAAUAAGUUACUUUAGGGAUAACAGCGUAAUUGCCCUAGAGAGUCCUUAUCGACAGGGCAGCUUACGACCUCGAUGUUGAAUUGGGGC